UAACACAUGCAAGUACGAGCCGCACUCUUCGGACUGAGCGGCGGACGGGUUAGUAACGCGUGGGAACGUGCCCAGAUCUAAGGAAUAGCCACUGGAAACGGUGAGUAAUACCUUAUACGCCCUUCGGGGGAAAGAUUUAUCGGAUUUGGAUCGGCCCGCGUUAGAUUAGGUAGUUGGUGGGGUAAUGGCCUACCAAGCCUACGAUCUAUAGCUGGUUUUAGGGGAUGAUCAGCAACACUGGGACUGAGACACGGCCCAGACUCCUACGGGAGGCAGCAGUGGGGAAUCUUAGACAAUGGGCGCAAGCCUGAUCUAGCCAUGCCGCGUGAGUGAUGAAGGCCUUAGGGUCGUAAAGCUCUUUCGCCUGUGAUGAUAAUGACAGUAGCAGGUAAAGAAACCCCGGCUAACUCCGUGCCAGCAGCCGCGGUAAUACGGAGGGGGUUAGCGUUG
This 450-nucleotide ribosomal RNA is filed under the name uncultured Roseobacter sp. Its description in RNAcentral is "bacterial SSU rRNA". It matches the Rfam family "Bacterial small subunit ribosomal RNA", at positions 49 to 543 of the family's 1533-position model. Lineage: Bacteria; Pseudomonadati; Pseudomonadota; Alphaproteobacteria; Rhodobacterales; Roseobacteraceae. The record is from RNAcentral.